This 425-nucleotide ribosomal RNA is filed under the name uncultured prokaryote. RNAcentral describes it as "bacterial SSU rRNA". It matches the Rfam family "Bacterial small subunit ribosomal RNA", at positions 355 to 796 of the family's 1533-position model. The record is from RNAcentral.
CAGGGAAUCUUGGGCAAUGGGCGAAAGCCUGACCCAGCGACGUCGCGUGGGGGACGAAGGCCUUAGGGUUGUAAACCCCUUUUCCGAGGGAAGAGAAAGGACGGUACCUCGGGAAUAAGCCCCGGCUAACUACGUGCCAGCAGCCGCGGUAAUACGUAGGGGGCAAGCGUUACCCGGAAUCACUGGGCGUAAAGUGCGCGUAGGCGGUUGGAUAAGUCUCUUGUGAAAGCUCCCGGCUCAACUGGGAGAGGUCAAGGGAUACUAUUUGACUAGAGGACAGCAGAGGUAAGCAGAAUUCCCGGUGUAGCGGUGGAAUGCGUAGAUAUCGGGAGGAACACCAGUGGCGAAGGCGGCUUACUGGGCUGUAGCUGACGCUGAGGCGCGAGAGCGUGGGGAGCAAACUGGAUUAGAUACCCCCGUAGUCC